Molecule: transfer RNA, 75 nt
Filed under: Parcubacteria bacterium DG_74_2
Lineage: Bacteria; Candidatus Parcubacteria
Description: tRNA-Arg
Rfam family: tRNA
About the family: Transfer RNA (tRNA) molecules are approximately 80 nucleotides in length. Their secondary structure includes four short double-helical elements and three loops (D, anti-codon, and T loops).
Source: RNAcentral
GUCCCCAUAGCUUAAUGGAUAAAGUAUUGGCUUGCGGAGCCAACGAUGAAGGUUCGACUCCUUCUGGGGACACAA